ACAUGCAAGUGGAGCGACGAACCGGGCUUCGGCCCGGGGCAAAGCCGCGAACGGGUGAGUAACACGUGGGUGACCUACCUUCGAAUGGGGGAUAACGUCCCGAAAGGGACGCUAAUACCGCAUAACAUCCUGCUUUUGAACAGGUGGAGAUCAAAGCCGGGGAUCGUAAGACCUGGCGUUUGAAGAGGGGCCCGCGUCUGAUUAGCUAGUUGGUGAGGUAACGGCCCACCAAGGCGACGAUCAGUAUCCGGCCUGAGAGGGCGGACGGACACACCGGGACUGAGACACGGCCCAGACUCCUACGGGAGGCAGCAGUGGGGAAUUGUUCGCAAUGGGCGCAAGCCUGACGACGCAACGCCGCGUGGAGGAUGAAGGUCUUCGGAUUGUAAACUCCUGUUGCCCGGGACGAAAAGCUUCGACCUAACACGUCGAAGUCUGACGGUACCGGGUGAGGAAGCCCCGGCUAACUCUGUGCCAGCAGCCGCGGUAAUACAGAGGGGGCAAGCGUUGUUCGGAAUUACUGGGCGUAAAGGGCGCGUAGGCGGCCUGCUAAGUCGAACGUGAAAUCCCCGGGCUCAACCCGGGAACUGCGUCCGAUACUGGCAGGCUUGAAUCCGGGAGAGGGAUGCGGAAUUCCAGGUGUAGCGGUGAAAUGCGUAGAUAUCUGGAGGAACACCGGUGGCGAAGGCGGCAUCCUGGACCGGCAUUGACGCUGAGGCGCGAAAGCCAGGGGAGCAAACGGGAUUAGAUACCCCGGUAGUCCUGGCCCUAAACGAUGAAUGCUUGGUGUGGCGGGUAUCGAUCCCUGCCGUGCCGAAGCUAACGCAUUAAGCAUUCCGCCUGGGGAGUACGGUCGCAAGGCUGAA
This 866-nucleotide ribosomal RNA is filed under the name uncultured bacterium. RNAcentral describes it as "bacterial SSU rRNA". It matches the Rfam family "Bacterial small subunit ribosomal RNA", at positions 53 to 898 of the family's 1533-position model. The record is from RNAcentral.